GACAGCUUGGCCGAGUGGGUUAAGGCGAUAGACUAGAAAUCUAUUGGGGUAACCCGCGUGAGUUCAAAUCUCACAGCUGUCG
Molecule: transfer RNA, 82 nt
Filed under: Phytophthora infestans (potato late blight agent)
Lineage: Eukaryota; Oomycota; Peronosporomycetes; Peronosporales; Peronosporaceae
Description: tRNA-Ser
Rfam family: tRNA
About the family: Transfer RNA (tRNA) molecules are approximately 80 nucleotides in length. Their secondary structure includes four short double-helical elements and three loops (D, anti-codon, and T loops). Further hydrogen bonds mediate the characteristic L-shaped molecular structure. tRNAs have two regions of fundamental functional importance: the anti-codon, which is responsible for specific mRNA codon recognition, and the 3' end, to which the tRNAs corresponding amino acid is attached (by aminoacyl-tRNA synthetases). tRNAs cope with the degeneracy of the genetic code in two manners: having more than one tRNA (with a specific anti-codon) for a particular amino acid; and 'wobble' base-pairing, i.e. permitting non-standard base-pairing at the 3rd anti-codon position.
Source: RNAcentral